GGUGGCUCAGUGGUAGAGCUCUUGCCUUGCAUGCAUGAAGCCCUGGGUUCGAUUCCUCAGCACCA
Dipodomys ordii (Ord's kangaroo rat) is the source of this 65-nucleotide non-coding RNA. The record is from Rfam. NCBI's taxonomy places the organism in Eukaryota, Metazoa, Chordata, Mammalia, Rodentia, Heteromyidae.